This 459-nucleotide ribosomal RNA is filed under the name uncultured bacterium. RNAcentral describes it as "partial 16S ribosomal RNA". It matches the Rfam family "Bacterial small subunit ribosomal RNA", at positions 338 to 795 of the family's 1533-position model. The record is from RNAcentral.
CCUACGGGUGGCAGCAGUGAGGAAUAUUGGUCAAUGGCCGAGAGGCUGAACCAGCAAAGCCGCGUGAGGGAAGACGGCCCUACGGGUUGUAAACCUCUUUUGUCGGGGAGCAAAGAGAGUCACGUGUGAAUCAUUGAGCGUACCCGAAGAAAAAGCAUCGGCUAACUCCGGGCCAGCAGCCGCGGUAAUACGGGGGAUGCGUGCGUUAUCCGGAUUUAUUGGGUUUAAGGGGUGCGCAGGCGGAGGUGCAAGUCACCGGUCAAAUUGCGGGGCUCAACCCCGUCCUGCCUUUGAAACUGCAUCCCUUGAGUGCGCGAGAAGUAUGCGGAAUGCGUGGUGUAGCGGUGAAAUGCAUAGAUAUCACGCAGAACUCCGAUUGCGAAGGCAGCAUACCGGCGCGCAACUGACGCUCGUGCACGAAAGCGUGGGUAUCGAACAGGAUUAGAUACCCUAGUAGUC